UAGAGGAACUCAAUCACACAGGUAGCUGCACCGAGAGGUUCAUCUUCAGUUCUGAUGGGUUGCCACCAUAUACUGCUAGAUGUCACUGGUAGAUUUUGGGAGCAAUUAGAAUGAUUUUGAUGAUCGAUCAUUCUAAUUGUCUGAAUCAGAAGAGUUCUGAUCCAUCGAAAGGAGUUUCGAUGAUGUCGAUGAUAAGAUCACGACAUAUCUCAUUACCAUAUAGAAUUGAACCUAACUGGGUCACACAAAUAAGGAUU
Molecule: long non-coding RNA, 257 nt
Filed under: Elaeis guineensis (African oil palm)
Lineage: Eukaryota; Viridiplantae; Streptophyta; Magnoliopsida; Arecales; Arecaceae
Description: long non-coding RNA (EGUI_LNC012950)
Source: RNAcentral